This 484-nucleotide ribosomal RNA is filed under the name uncultured bacterium. RNAcentral's name for it is "partial 16S ribosomal RNA". It matches the Rfam family "Bacterial small subunit ribosomal RNA", at positions 30 to 507 of the family's 1533-position model. The record is from RNAcentral.
UGAACGCUGGCGGCAUGCCUUACACAUGCAAGUCGACCGGCAGCGCGGACUUCGGUCUGGCGGCGAGUGGCGAACGGGUGAGUAAUACAUCGGAACGUACCCUGUUGUGGGGGAUAACUAGUCGAAAGAUUAGCUAAUACCGCAUACGACCUGAGGGUGAAAGUGGGGGACCGGAAACGGCCUCAUGCAGCAGGAGCGGCCGAUGUCUGAUUAGCUAGUUGGUGGGGUAAAGGCCCACCAAGGCGACGAUCAGUAGCUGGUCUGAGAGGACGAUCAGCCACACUGGGACUGAGACACGGCCCAGACUCCUACGGGAGGCAGCAGUGGGGAAUUUUGGACAAUGGGGGCAACCCUGAUCCAGCAAUGCCGCGUGUGUGAAGAAGGCCUUCGGGUUGUAAAGCACUUUUGUCCGGAAAGAAAUCGCGCUGGUUAAUACCUGGCGUGGAUGACGGUACCGGAAGAAUAAGCACCGGCUAACUACGUG